GGUGAUGCAAGUGCCAUGAUGUUGCCAAUCUCCGACUUGAUUCUCUCCCACUUUGCUUUCAUUGCUUUUUCCCCCUCUGGCUUGUUUUUGUUCCUUUCUGUUAGAAAUAAGCGUCCUGAGAUCAAUUGCUGUUGUUACUGUGUGUGUAUGUGCGUAUAUUAACAGGGAUGUCUCUACAUUGAUAUACACUACUGUUUUGGGAUCUGUACAGUGCGAAGACACGCAUUGUGUAAGUAAAUUGUUUCUUGUAGAGAGGAUUACCAUGUUAAUUUUGGGUGUGUGAAAACAUUCUCAAAAAAACCUGUGGUAUAGUAGAACAAGGCAACUGUGGUUGUGGAUGUUUUUUAGAACUGUUUCUUUGUUUACAUAAGAAGUCAAAUUGGACAGAAUAUUUUGUUUAAAUAAUGUUGUAGUAUCAUGUAAAAGCUUGCAAUGAACACAAGAAUAUACUGAUUGCUCUCUUUUUGUGAAAUGUUUUUUGUCCAAUGAUUAAAUUUUUGAUAACUGGUAUACUCAAUAUCACCAAAAACAAAUUUUUCUUGACAAUAUGGAAUUUCAAUAAAAAGCUCUGGAGAUAUUUCCUCUAAAAUAUUAAUACAUAACCUGUAGGUCAGUAUUAAUUAUCUCUGACAAUUCAAAAUAAUUUUUAUUUUAAAAAUUAUAUAUAUAAAAAAAAAAAAAAAAAACUAGAAUAGAAACUCCUUGUUUCUUUUUAAAAAUAUAUAUUCUUAAUGUUGUAGCAAAAGAUAACUUCCCAAAUCAAACA
This 766-nucleotide long non-coding RNA is filed under the name Physcomitrium patens. RNAcentral describes it as "long non-coding RNA (PPAT_LNC003959)". Lineage: Eukaryota; Viridiplantae; Streptophyta; Bryopsida; Funariales; Funariaceae. The record is from RNAcentral.